CGAAGUAUAGCUUAAUGUAAAGCCCCUUGUUUACGCCAAGGAAAUGUUUAGUCACUAAAACUAUUUCGUG
This 70-nucleotide transfer RNA is filed under the name Craugastor longirostris (long-snouted whistling frog). RNAcentral describes it as "tRNA-Val". The record is from RNAcentral. Lineage: Eukaryota; Metazoa; Chordata; Amphibia; Anura; Craugastoridae.